UUGAUGCUAACUCAACUUAUCGCGAAAGAAUAUAUUCGUUUGGAAAUGAAGCUGGACUACCGUAAUUAUCAUCCAAGUUGUGUUGCUUUCCCUGCCACUUCGCUGUAUCUUUGAAAAACCUGAACUUUAUGGUGUAACGAUUUGGUCUGCGACGUUUUCAUUUCAAUGAAAACAGUAAGAGUUUUGCGGUUCAAUUGUAUGUGAUCUACACUACCUCUGGAAAUGAAAAACUUGAAUUUUCAAAUCGUUUUUUCGAUUAGUGGCUGUCUUUGAAGGUCCCGAAAAGUUUCGGCGAAGUCUGGUCGAAUAUAUGUUGUCUGAGUGUGUAGACGUUAAAGUUAGAUAGCUGAAGUGUGAGUCUAUUUUGUGAAUUUUUUGAUUUUUAUUUGUUUGAUAAGUUUUUGUGAAUUUUGUUGGAUGAAUUUUCACUUGUGCUUUGCUGCGUUAGGGUAUUUUCAUAGCAGUAUUCCUUAUUGAUCCUUGAUUUUCCAUCAGAAGAUGCCAUUUUUCUACGUAAUUCAUUCGAAGACUUGUUCAACUGAAUGGUUUACUGCUGUCUCGUGUAACGGACCAGUGGAAGCGACUGAUGAUGGUUAGACCACGCGCUAACCACUGACCGCCACUGGAUCCGGAGGUCGAAACAGAUUUGUCCUUCUUUGAUUCGCUUCACGCGAACCAUGGGAAAGGGAAGAGCAAAGCUCUGUUCGUUUAUUUACAAUUACUUCCUUAAUUUUUAGAUUACUUUAUAGGUAUUACAGGUCUUAGUUGUCCUCGUCCGAGCUUCAUGUAUGUAUUUGCAGCCCGUUGCCAAAUCGUAACGUAAAAAAAGCCUGAAUUCAUAUUUCUGUGUUUCGAAUGGAAGGAUUCAUUUUUGGAGUCAAUAAACAGAAAUAUAUUGAUUAUUUGAGAGUAGUGCAAUUGAGAAAAGAAAAACUUUUUGCUGAAAUGUGUCUAAAAAGGGAACACCGAUAUCCAACGGUUUUCGCGAAGAACGGUUUGAUAAUUCCGGUCAAUUGAUACAUUCGAAUGAGUCCCAUGUUAGCUGUUCGCUGAAGGUCAAAAUGGGACCACCCUGUCAAAUUAAAAUUUUCUGUUGCACUGACAAGGAGGAAAAAGAAAACUUGUUGAAAAACUGGCCAGUACAAUAUCUAAGUAAAGAAUCGGUUACAAAAGUAGGGGACGCGUCCGAGUCUCGAGCGCACAACGUGGUAAAAAUAUUGUUUGAUCCAAUACCCAACCGAGAUAACGAAAAAUCAUUGCUAAUACUGAAAUGCUAUGAGUCCGAGUGGGACGUUCUCAACACAGCCGUUAACCGUAUGCUACAAAAAAUGCCAACGAUUGCCGAAAACCAAGCUCUAUUCGAUUCAGGAGAAUCGUCACAGUCACCUUCGCCAACUAACUAGGCAGAUUCUAUGUAACACUGCAGCCAGUAUUAUGAUUAUGUCGAUUAUGAACAAAGAUUGAGCGAACGUAGAGCCUUUUAUAACUUGGCAUCAUAUUACCAUGUGCCGUCAUACUUAAAUCAAUAAAUUCAUUGAACCCAAAGUGU
This is a long non-coding RNA of Bradysia coprophila, 1549 nucleotides long. The record is from RefSeq and is a predicted model, not a curated record. Lineage: Eukaryota; Metazoa; Arthropoda; Insecta; Diptera; Sciaridae.